Molecule: ribosomal RNA, 497 nt
Filed under: uncultured Gram-positive bacterium
Lineage: Bacteria
Description: partial 16S ribosomal RNA
Source: RNAcentral
UGUUACCUUGUUACGACUUAACCCCAAUCACCGACCCCACCUUAGNCGGCUGCCUCCCUUGCGGGUUAGCUCCACCGGCUUCGGGUGUUGCCGACUUUCGUGGUUUGACGGGCGGUGUGUACAAUCCCCGAGAACGUAUUCACCGCAGCAUAGCUGAUCUGCGAUUACUAGCAAUUCCGGCUUCAUGCAGGCGAGUUUCAGCCUGCAAUCCGAACUGAGACCUGCUUUGUGAGAUUCGCUCCAGNUCACUCUUUCGCUUCCCUCUGUACAGGCCAUUGUAGCGCGUGUGUAGCCCAGGCCAUAAGGGCCAUGAGGAUUUGACCUCAUCCCCACCUUCCUCCGAAUUGUCUCCGGCAGUCUCCUGUGAGUGCCCGACUCUACUCGCUGGCAACACNNNACGGGGGUUGCGCUCGUUGCGGGACCUAACCCAACAUCUCACGACACGAGCUGACGACAACCAUGCAACACCUGUCACCCUGGCCGCAAGCGGCAAACCU